UAUGUGAUCGUCUCUCGCAUAUCAAUAAGCGGAGGAAAAGGAACUAACAAGGAUUCCCCUAGUAACGGCGAGUGAAGCGGGAAGAGCUCAAAUUUGAAAUCUUAAAGGGUUUCCCUUUACGAAUUGUAGUUUAAAGAAGUGUUUUCUGUUGAGGUUUUGGUAAAAGUUCUUUGGAAUAGGACAUCAUAGAGGGUGAGAAUCCCGUAUUUGACCUUUACUUUCAACUUUGUGAUACACUUUCAAAGAGUCGGAUUGUUUGGGAAUGCAGUCCAAAAUGGGUGGUAAAUUUCAUCUAAAGCUAAAUAUUGGCGAGAGGACCGAUAGCGAACAAGUACCGUGAGGGAAAGAUGAAAAGAACUUUGAAAAGAGAGUUAAACAGUACGUGAAAUUGUCAAAAGGGAAGCGUUUGACACCAGUGUUGUUUUCCUGAAAAUCAAUUAAAGAACUGUUUAUGCUAAGUUGUUUAGACUUUAUCAGCUAACUGUUUAGUUUUGAGCUUUUCUUUAAUGCACUUUUCAGUUAACAAGUCAACAUCAAUCUCUUUUGCUGUAAAAAAGCUUGAGGAAGGGUGGCUUGAGAUUCGUCUUAAGUGUUUAUAGCCUCUUGCCUAUGCAGUCGGAGAGAUUGAGGUCUGCAGCGUAGAUCCUUCGGGGCUAAAUGCAUUUGUGCUAAGUUAUAGCAUUUUAUAGACAACUUGUUGACUAUGAUUUGUCUUGUAGCUUACUCGCUUAUGUUAUUUUACCUACGCUUAGGAUGUUGAGUAGCGACAUACGCAC
RNAcentral lists this ribosomal RNA (776 nucleotides) under uncultured Neocallimastigales. RNAcentral's name for it is "partial large subunit ribosomal RNA". It matches the Rfam family "Eukaryotic large subunit ribosomal RNA", at positions 24 to 649 of the family's 3401-position model. The record is from RNAcentral. Lineage: Eukaryota; Fungi; Neocallimastigomycota; Neocallimastigomycetes; Neocallimastigales.